CCCUUAGAUGUCCUGGGCCGCACGCGCGCUACACUGAUGCAUUCAACGAGUCUACCUUGGCCGAGAGGCCUGGGCAACCUUUUAAACGUGCAUCGUGAUAGGGAUAGAUUAUUGCAAUUAUUAAUCUUGAACGAGGAAUUCCUAGUAAACGCAAAUCAUCAAUUUGCAUUGAUUACGUCCCUGCACUUUGUACACACCGCCCGUCGCACCUACCGAUUGAAUGGUCCGGUGAGGACUCGGGAUUUUACCAGUUUCCUUCAUUGGGAAUUGGUGAGGAGAACUUGUCCAAACCUUAUCAUUUAGAGGAAGGUGAAGUCGUAACA
This 323-nucleotide ribosomal RNA is filed under the name uncultured eukaryote. RNAcentral's name for it is "partial 18S ribosomal RNA". It matches the Rfam family "Eukaryotic small subunit ribosomal RNA", at positions 1470 to 1796 of the family's 1831-position model. The record is from RNAcentral.